Molecule: ribosomal RNA, 495 nt
Filed under: uncultured bacterium
Lineage: Bacteria
Description: partial 16S ribosomal RNA
Rfam family: Bacterial small subunit ribosomal RNA
Source: RNAcentral
UGAACGCUGGCGGCGUGCCUAAUACAUGCAAGUCGAGCGAACAGACGAGGAGCUUGCUCCUCUGACGUUAGCGGCGGACGGGUGAGUAACACGUGGAUAACCUACCUAUAAGACUGGGAUAACUUCGGGAAACCGGAGCUAAUACCGGAUAAUAUAUUGAACCGCAUGGUUCAAUAGUGAAAGACGGUUUUGCUGUCACUUAUAGAUGGAUCCGCGCCGCAUUAGCUAGUUGGUAAGGUAACGGCUUACCAAGGCAACGAUGCGUAGCCGACCUGAGAGGGUGAUCGGCCACACUGGAACUGAGACACGGUCCAGACUCCUACGGGAGGCAGCAGUAGGGAAUCUUCCGCAAUGGGCGAAAGCCUGACGGAGCAACGCCGCGUGAGUGAUGAAGGUCUUCGUAUCGUAAAACUCUGUUAUUAGGGAAGAACAAAUGUGUAAGUAACUAUGCACGUCUUGACGGUACCUAAUCAGAAAGCCACGGCUAACUACGUG